Molecule: ribosomal RNA, 657 nt
Filed under: Escherichia coli
Lineage: Bacteria; Pseudomonadati; Pseudomonadota; Gammaproteobacteria; Enterobacterales; Enterobacteriaceae
Description: partial 23S ribosomal RNA
Rfam family: Bacterial large subunit ribosomal RNA
Source: RNAcentral
GAAGGUGUGCUGUGAGGCAUGCUGGAGGUAUCAGAAGUGCGAAUGCUGACAUAAGUAACGAUAAAGCGGGUGAAAAGCCCGCUCGCCGGAAGACCAAGGGUUCCUGUCCAACGUUAAUCGGGGCAGGGUGAGUCGACCCCUAAGGCGAGGCCGAAAGGCGUAGUCGAUGGGAAACAGGUUAAUAUUCCUGUACUUGGUGUUACUGCGAAGGGGGGACGGAGAAGGCUAUGUUGGCCGGGCGACGGUUGUCCCGGUUUAAGCGUGUAGGCUGGUUUUCCAGGCAAAUCCGGAAAAUCAAGGCUGAGGCGUGAUGACGAGGCACUACGGUGCUGAAGCAACAAAUGCCCUGCUUCCAGGAAAAGCCUCUAAGCAUCAGGUAACAUCAAAUCGUACCCCAAACCGACACAGGUGGUCAGGUAGAGAAUACCAAGGCGCUUGAGAGAACUCGGGUGAAGGAACUAGGCAAAAUGGUGCCGUAACUUCGGGAGAAGGCACGCUGAUAUGUAGGUGAGGUCCCUCGCGGAUGGAGCUGAAAUCAGUCGAAGAUACCAGCUGGCUGCAACUGUUUAUUAAAAACACAGCACUGUGCAAACACGAAAGUGGACGUAUACGGUGUGACGCCUGCCCGGUGCCGGAAGGUUAAUUGAUGGGGUUAGC